Small nucleolar RNA from Lemur catta (Ring-tailed lemur), 102 nucleotides. RefSeq annotates it as small nucleolar RNA U13. The transcript has a single exon. The record is from RefSeq and is a predicted model, not a curated record. Lineage: Eukaryota; Metazoa; Chordata; Mammalia; Primates; Lemuridae.
AUCCUUUUGUAAUUCAUAAGCAUGAUGAUUGGGUGUUCAUGUGCAUGUGUGAGACAUGCUUCCCUCAACUUUGUUAUGACAUUGGCACAUUACCAUCUGGCA